This is an RNA transcript of Ooceraea biroi (clonal raider ant), 745 nucleotides long. RefSeq lists it as uncharacterized. Lineage: Eukaryota; Metazoa; Arthropoda; Insecta; Hymenoptera; Formicidae. The record is from RefSeq and is a predicted model, not a curated record.
CCUCCGCCGUACCCCGUCGACGGGCUAUCUCUGCCUGGAACGUUAUCUGCUGGUACGUACGUUACUAAUGAGCGAAAAAGAAUGAGAGGGACAGAGCAAGCGAGAGGAGGACCAACAGGAGGACGAGGAAGAGGAGGAGGAAGAGGAGGAGCAGGAGAAGAGGGGAGGCAGAAAGUGACGGAGGAGAAGAAAGGGGGUCACACCAAGAUCGCAACGGUUCAAGAUUUGCUUAUAUGCAGACAAAGAUUGCGAUUUUGAAUCUUAUUUCGAAAUUCAAAUUCAAAGUUCAUCCCCGAACUCCAACGCCAUUCGUGUACGAGGCAGGAUGCGCCGUACUCACGGUCAAAGAUGAUAUACAUCUCGUCAUCGAGCCAAGGUAAAAUAGUCGUAUUCUUUCUCUCUUGAUUCUAAGAAGGAACAUUUCUACUUGAUCCAUCCAAGUAGAUAUUAUUCGAAUUUCUUGCAAAUUCGGACAUCACAAUGUAUUUAUCGUGUUAUAAUUUACUUUGGUCAUAUUGUAAUGUAAUUGUUUUCAUGAUCGUGUUUACAACAGUUGUCCUAUUUUUAUUGUUAAGAAUUAGCAUUUAGCUAAUUGCAUGCAAUUGCAAAUUGAGAUGUUGUUUAAAUUUCGGAGAGAUUUAAUUUCUAUUAUCAUGUAAUACGUUAAAAGCUAAAUAAUCCGAGAUCCACUAUCAAAUGUCAUAUCUAAAAUUUCGUUCAAGUGUAUACACGCGAAAGGGAAAAA